Molecule: long non-coding RNA, 1730 nt
Filed under: Homo sapiens (human)
Lineage: Eukaryota; Metazoa; Chordata; Mammalia; Primates; Hominidae
Description: non-protein coding lnc-TLR5-3:1
Source: RNAcentral
GCUAAACUAUCUGACUGCCCACACCCUUUCUCUGGACUUGUUUUAACCUUUUUCAGUUCCGCUCCAAGUGCUCUAUGGUGUGGUUGUUUCGUAGAACUGGUGCUUAAAGACUAAUGUCUCUCCCUGUUGUGCCUGCUGGGUUUCUAAAGAGGAAACCAAGUAGCUAAUAGUCUAUUUAUUUUUCCAACAGUCUCAGGAAACAAACUCAUGCAGGGCAUCUAUCUGCAUAAAAGAAGUAGUAGCUCCAUUGCUCUAGCUAAAGGGUAAAGCCACAUUGGUAUGCACUGCACAAAAGUAGAGGCUGACUUUAAGUCAUAAUUUGCAUUUUCUCCUUGCAGAGCUAUUUAUCUGGAGAUGUUAGAGUUCCCUGUAUGUGGGAAACUCUCAUUUAGCAUUGUAUAAAUGGACUCUGGCUGAAUCUGUGGAGCUCAGGCAGAUAUCUAAAAGUGGGCAACAUGUUCUCUGGAAUAGCUUUCCAUAAUUCUUUAACAACUGGUACCUGGUCCUGGUAUGAAGGAACGGUUGAACUCAAUUAUCUCCCCAUGAGAGAAUUCCAGAAGAGAUGGCUUAAACCCCAAUCUCAGAGGUUUGAAGGAAAUUCACAUCUCCAGAAGGGACUGUGGAGGACAAUGUCGCUCAACUAUUUUAAGUUAGCAAAAUGUCUCCCCUAGUCAGAGUAGGGAAAAUGUAAGGUAAAUAUUUAAACAAGCGAAAGGAGGCAGUAAGCAAGAAGACAAAACCAACUCUACCUUCAAAAUCAUACAAAGAAAGAGGCUGGAUUCUAUUGGAAUUAAAUUGAUGGAAAGGUCCUGGACCAGGCUGUGUCCUCCCCAUGUGGCUGCAGUGGACACUGGACAAGACCCACUGGUUUAUUUUGUGACUUUCACUCAUGUGAUGCCAUUUAUCAAGGUCACAUGGCAAGCUUUUGGGAAAAUCCACCCAGAUUGCUGGUCUUUACUUCAUUCCACUGUGGUCACACAGCUUAGCUACCAAGGGAUUGGAGUAAGAAAAGUGUGCAGUGGGAGGCUGGGGUUGAUCGUGGAUUUAUUUGGUAAUAAAGGUCCUUGGGCCACAUGUGCUCUGAAUACAGUGAUCUCACACAGACUUGCUCCCAUUCAGGGACCUUAUUACAUAUAUGUCUCUCUUUGCCUCAUGGUCAUUCUUGUGUCACCAACCAGACUCCAAGUUUCUUGAAAACAGGGAUGGUAUCUCAGACUUAGACAUUCCCUGGUAUCUAACACAGUACUGGGCUCAAUAAAUGCUACAUCGACUUGAGAGGGCCUGACAAAGGCUGGGCACAGUGGCUCACGCCUGCAACCCCAGCACUUUAGGAGGCUGAGGUGGGAAGAUCACUGGACCCCAGGAGUUGGAGACAGCCUGGGCCACAUGGCGAAACCACAUCUUUAAAAAAAAGAAAGAAAGGAAGGAAGGAAGGAAGGAAGGAAGGAAGGAAGGAAGGAAGGAAGGAAGAAAGGAAAGAAAGAAAGAAAGAAAGAAAUUGAGACACAGAAGCCAAAAAUAACAAAAAUGAUGUUUGAUAGAAAACCCAUUUGAGGUAAUUUAUAAGUAAGAGAAAAAAAUUAAAAAAUAGAAAGGGCCUGACAAACAUGCAUAUUAGUUCCUAUGGUCAGCCUGAGCCACAGAGGGGCCGAAGGCAGAAGGAGCAGGAAGAUCUGAGAUGCUUCAGCAGAGAAGGGGACCUCUGAGGAGACUGGAUCGAAGAACCAGCU